This 407-nucleotide unclassified non-coding RNA is filed under the name Hevea brasiliensis (rubber tree). Lineage: Eukaryota; Viridiplantae; Streptophyta; Magnoliopsida; Malpighiales; Euphorbiaceae. The record is from RNAcentral.
GGGUGAAUAUAAGUAGUUGGGUUGCAAGAUUGAAUUGGCUAAUCAUUUUGAUGUGUAAAACAACUUACUCACUUAUAUGAGCUCAGAAUAAAAUGAAUUAAUAUAUAAUUUGAUUGGCACUCCCUUCAAAUUUAACAUCCAUCCCAGGCCAAAAACUAAGCUUUUCUUUUACUAAUGGUAUUUGUUUGGUCGUACUUGUAGUUCAUUGCCAAUAGGUAGUUUUAUUUGGUCAACCUUGAACUUUAAACUACAAUCUCUCAAAGAUUUUUCUUGUAAAAUGCGGUAAUACAUUUUCAUGUUAUUUGAUAAUGUGGAAUAACUCAUUGGAUUUAAACAGAAUGAAUCAAAUAGAGGAAUGCGGCGAGUGUGCCGUGCAACUGUAGGAUCCCUGACAAAGUGAAAGGUAA